This is an RNA transcript of Bombus pyrosoma, 1799 nucleotides long. RefSeq lists it as uncharacterized. The transcript is spliced from 5 exons. The record is from RefSeq and is a predicted model, not a curated record. NCBI's taxonomy places the organism in Eukaryota, Metazoa, Arthropoda, Insecta, Hymenoptera, Apidae.
CGAUGCUAUUCAAUUCUGAUUCAAUUCUAAAAUUCAAAAUUCAUUCUGUAUCAUAAUCCUCUAAUUAAUAUAAUUUCCCACGCUGCAUAUUACGCGUAAGUAUACAUUUCCGAUUACUAUUUGCACACCUGAACGAACCAGUAACCAUACCCAUACCGUAUGAUCACCAACAGCAACACCCAUCACCCAUCACCCAUCACCCAGUACCCACUGCUAAACGCCAAAAUCCCACAACGACUCACUUCCCACCACACUGCACGUGUGAACCAAUACAGGACCAGUAAACGAAACAUCCGCGCGACUGUGCGCACCUGUAAGUCGCAACUGCGCCCACAAUUCGCGUGCGGCAACCUCCCGUUUCGUCGUUUAGUUGGAAAACAGUAUCACGCAAUUACAAACUGUUCCAGCCUAUGAAGUUCCCUACUGCGUACCAGCUAGGUCAGUUUAGUCGCCAAAGCGACUCGACGAAAGAAGAACGAACGCUUUAAAACUGGUGUUCGCGACGUUUUCUUUUUUUUUUUUUUUUUUAUCAGCGUUACAACGAAGAAAACCAUCACGAGAGAUCAUCGAUCGGGAUACGAAUCCCUACGAGAAAGGUUGGAAAUCGACGACGAGGAAAUCAUCACCUUGGUAACCAACGGCAAAACAUAAGUGCGGGUCGUUGGAAACGUGAUACGUGGAUUCGAGGAACGUAGCAAGGCGAAUAUCUCUUCUCUAUAUGGAUUUUUCGGUCCGAUUCGAUUCACGUCUAGGAAGACGUUGAUCUCUCGUAGUCGACAUCGGUUUUUUUUUUUCUUCUGUCUGACAUGACAGUUCUGGAGGAACUCGACUCGUGGCCUCGGGCAUUCAGCAGCUGACGGCAACCAGGCGAUCGUACAUCCGGGGAAAAGCGUUCAACGCUUGGACAAAGAUGGAUACUGGCCUCUCCUGGAUCCUCGCUUUUGCCUUGAUCGCGCUCCUCGUAUCGGAAGGUUGGGCCAUCGAUUGUUUCAAGUGCGUGUCGAUCGACGGCGACAACAAGCCCUGUGACGAUCCGUUUCACAACAACGGGAGUCUGGCCUUCCUGGAGUCGCCAUGCUUAGGAGGUCGCAAAGGGCGCGAUGGUCUUUUCCCCGCGACUGCGUGCAUCAAAAUAGCUGGAAUAUAUGACGAAUCCGGCGUCUCUUUGACGGUGAGAAGCUGCGCGCUGGACAGCGGAACUCUGACGACCGACUCCGAAAUCAUAAGAAUGUCACAUUGCGGAGGAUUCUAUUUCGACGACAAAUACGUUCGCGGAUGCGUGCAGUCUUGCAACGAUGCGGAUGCCUGCAAUGGAUCCACACGGCGAGCAGUUGCGCUCGUGCUUUUAACUUUAUCGAUUUUCCUUGGACUAAUUUGACGAGGAUGGUCAGCGUAAAAUUCGCGUUAAUUAAAAUAUAGAUAAUUAUUGUAUAUAUCAAACGAGAAACGAUCACCUCUAUAUAUAACGGACCAGUUCGAAUGUAAAUCAGUAACCUGACCAAUUUAGCUGUGGACCAAAGACGUAAGAAAACGAAAAUGAUAACUCGUCCAAAUAAAUACAUAUGUAUGCGUUUCUCAUGACGCUAUAAUUACGAAGGAAAAGUAUAUAGAAUCACUAUUUGAUACUAUUUGAUAGUCUGCAGAAUAAAAAGAGCAACAACUGCCAUUUUACUUAAACGUAACCGUUAUUGUUUUAUUAAUAUUCAUGCGUAGAUUAUGUAAUUUAUGAUCUAGUGAUUGCUUGGAAUUAUAGUCGAACGUAUAUUCGUGAGAUUAUCGUUAUUGCAGACUGUGUAGAA